GCCAUGGGUUCCAAAACUAGCAGCAUAAUGUCUGUAACAGACAUGCUACCUAAUUAAAUUGUUAGGGAACAGGCUUUUAUAUCUUUAACACCUAAUUUACUAUUGUUUCUUUGAAAGUGUUUGGCUUCCCUGUGGUUUUUUGGGCCUCCCUUCUCAGUUUUACGAUGGCUUUUAAGUUUUUUGUGUGUGUUUCUACUAAAUAACCAUUUUGGAAGUUUUGUUAGGGUCCCAGCUCAAGUUGGACCGAGGGAAGCAGGGGCCUGUUUUAGUGUUGUUCAUGCUGGGUGAGUUACCACUGCCGUGCUAAUUAUGUAAUUACCCUGUUUUAAUAGCUAUUGUACACUACUUUAUUGCUAACAAAUCUGAUUUCCUCUUUCUUUGCUCACCCAUCGAACAGUAAAGGCACAGGGACACACACAAACAUUAUACAGCUCCAUAAACCUAAAAACCAGAGCUGGCAGGGCUCUAGCCGUAAACAAGCAUCUUCAAGGCAGCAGGUUUAGCCAAAUCUACUCCACACUAAUGACAAUAUAAUUCUUGCUUACUGGGAAGACACAAAAUUGAAUUAGUUUCUCAAGAACCAAGUGCUCCACAGCUGUUGCUCAGGGGGUGUAUAACAUGCUCACCACAAAAAUCAGGGGCUAUACCUGAGAUGUUUGGACUGUGCUGUACCAGAAAUGAGUAAUGAACGUGUUAAUCAGCUACUUCCUCCCUUCUAUAUGAAAAAAAUAAAUAAAAUUAAAUAUAUAUAUAUAUAUAUAUACUUGGCCCCAGAGAGGUGGGGGAACAUAUGUUCCAAAAUAUUCCUGAAUUCUGCACAGUCAUUUAGAGUCCAUUGCUAACAAGACAAGGUAGGGUACUCAGAGAUAUCAGAAUGUAGAGGGGCAGGAUGAAAAGGGGAAAUGUCACCCAGCAUCUAUCCCAUAUGAAAUUUUAUCAUAAUAGCAAAAACCUUAUUUUUCUCCUCUCCUUGUUUUUUGCCCACAGCCAGCCCCAGGUCUCAUUCCCAUUUUAUCUGAAGGAGAACCAGUCUCAAGGCAGGACUCUGGACUAGUCCAGAAGACCAUCAUGACAACAUUGACUGAGAUCCACCUGCAGCCUCUGCCUUUCAGACCUUCAGUCAUUUCCCAGCCUUCCUUUUAGGAUGUCCUUGAGAAGGGUUCAAACCUGAUCACUUGGUGACAGGCUGUGCUCCUCAGAGCUCCAUGGAUGUCAGGUCUCUGAGUGGAGAUACCGUGCACAAGCUCCAUUCUACCAGCUUCUGCCUCCCACCCUGAAGGAGUUAAGCAAAAUUUACAGCAUUUUAAACUUAUAUUACUCACUUGUAUUGAAUUAUUUUUGGAUCAGAUAUUAAAUGGAGGUUUUCCAUAUAAUAUCUGUCACAGAUGGAAAAAACCCCAUCAUCUAUGGAUGAGUGUAAUCCAUUCAUUGGUUUACGGAUACAGCCCUCUCCAGGGAUUGUCAGAAAUAAACACAAUGUCCCUGUUUGCUGGAUUUUUGCA
RNAcentral lists this long non-coding RNA (1502 nucleotides) under Cyanistes caeruleus (blue tit). RNAcentral's name for it is "lncRNA (ENSCCEG00000013463.1)". Lineage: Eukaryota; Metazoa; Chordata; Aves; Passeriformes; Paridae. The record is from RNAcentral.